Molecule: ribosomal RNA, 497 nt
Filed under: uncultured bacterium
Lineage: Bacteria
Description: partial 16S ribosomal RNA
Rfam family: Bacterial small subunit ribosomal RNA
Source: RNAcentral
GAUGAACGCUGGCGGCGUGCCUAAUACAUGCAAGUCGAGCGAACAGACGAGGAGCUUGCUCCUCUGACGUUAGCUGCGGACGGGUGAGUAACACGUGGAUAACCUACCUAUAAAACUGGGAUAACUUCGGGAAACCGGAGCUAAUACCGGAUAAUAUAUUGAAUCACAUGAUACAAUAGUGAAAUACGGUUUUGCUAUCACUUAUAGAUUGAUCCGCGCCGCAUUAGCUAGUUGGUAAGGUAACGGCUUACCAAGGCCACGAUGCGUAGCCGACCUGAGAGGGUGAUCGGCCACACUGGAACUGAGACACGGUCCAGACUCCUACGGGAGGCAGCAGUAGGGAAUCUUCCGCAAUGGGCGAAAGCCUGACGGAGCAACGCCGCGUGAGUGAUGAAGGUCUUCGGAUCGUAAAACUCUGUUAUUAGGGAAGAACAAAUGUGUAAGUAACUAUGCACGUCUUGACGGUACCUAAUCAGAAAGCCACGGCUAACUACGUG